This 1029-nucleotide ribosomal RNA is filed under the name Escherichia coli. RNAcentral's name for it is "partial 23S ribosomal RNA". It matches the Rfam family "Bacterial large subunit ribosomal RNA", at positions 1 to 1071 of the family's 2925-position model. Lineage: Bacteria; Pseudomonadati; Pseudomonadota; Gammaproteobacteria; Enterobacterales; Enterobacteriaceae. The record is from RNAcentral.
GGUUAAGCGACUAAGCGUACACGGUGGAUGCCCUGGCAGUCAGAGGCGAUGAAGGACGUGCUAAUCUGCGAUAAGCGUCGGUGAGGUGAUAUGAACCGUUAUAACCGGCGAUUUCCGAAUGGGGAAACCCAGUGUGUUUCGACACACUAUCAUUAACUGAAUCCAUAGGUUAAUGAGGCGAACCGGGGGAACUGAAACAUCUAAGUACCCCGAGGAAAAGAAAUCAACCGAGAUUCCCCCAGUAGCGGCGAGCGAACGGGGAGGAGCCCAGAGCCUGAAUCAGUGUGUGUGUUAGUGGAAGCGUCUGGAAAGGCGUGCGAUACAGGGUGACAGCCCCGUACACAAAAAUGCACAUAUUGUGAGCUCGAUGAGUAGGGCGGGACACGUGGUAUCCUGUCUGAAUAUGGGGGGACCAUCCUCCAAGGCUAAAUACUCCUGACUGACCGAUAGUGAACCAGUACCGUGAGGGAAAGGCGAAAAGAACCCCGGCGAGGGGAGUGAAAAAGAACCUGAAACCGUGUACGUACAAGCAGUGGGAGCCUCUUAAUGGGGUGACUGCGUACCUUUUGUAUAAUGGGUCAGCGACUUAUAUUCUGUAGCAAGGUUAACCGAAUAGGGGAGCCGAAGGGAAACCGAGUCUUAACUGGGCGUUAAGUUGCAGGGUAUAGACCCGAAACCCGGUGAUCUAGCCAUGGGCAGGUUGAAGGUUGGGUAACACUAACUGGAGGACCGAACCGACUAAUGUUGAAAAAUUAGCGGAUGACUUGUGGCUGGGGGUGAAAGGCCAAUCAAACCGGGAGAUAGCUGGUUCUCCCCGAAAGCUAUUUAGGUAGCGCCUCGUGAAUUCAUCUCCGGGGGUAGAGCACUGUUUCGGCAAGGGGGUCAUCCCGACUUACCAACCCGAUGCAAACUGCGAAUACCGGAGAAUGUUAUCACGGGAGACACACGGCGGGUGCUAACGUCCGUCGUGAAGAGGGAAACAACCCAGACCGCCAGCUAAGGUCCCAAAGUCAUGGUUAAGUGGGAAAC